Molecule: long non-coding RNA, 848 nt
Organism: Brienomyrus brachyistius
Lineage: Eukaryota; Metazoa; Chordata; Actinopteri; Osteoglossiformes; Mormyridae
Exons: 4
Source: RefSeq, a predicted model, not a curated record
AGGCAGCCCCCAAAGCCACGACAGGCAGCGCGCUCACCAUACGGACGGCUGCGGGAGGCAGACCGCCAGGAGAAUAUUUUAGAAAAGACCUUUUCAUCAUUAAUGUCCUUUAAAAAUUGAUCAGCCGAACGCAUGAGAAACGAAGUGGGUGGAUCUGAAGGAGUCGGUUGCCCACGGCAGGUCAGCGUCUUUCGCCUGUUUGUUCGGUGCCCGGAAAACCGGCCCACCAGUCAGUGUCUGUGAACCAUAGAAGAGGCACAGAGGGCAGGCGGGUCCAGGACACCCCAGAGGCAUCCCGGAGGUCCUCGCACACCUGGCCUCUGUCACACCCUCGCCGUCAACAUCUCUUUUUGCCUGUUAAUAAAAGACCAAAGCCCUGUGCAUCUACUUCAAGCUUGGAGGUCACAACGCUGGGUCAGCCAGCAUCCAGCACUCGUGGAGCUGGGGGCACUGAGGUUUAGUGUGCUGAGCUUCAAAACUGCCCACUAACGUGAUAAUCCAGGAUGCUGAAACACAGUCCAUGUUAGCACCCUAUCACCCUGGGCAUGGGAUCAAAACCCAGGCUGAUAAAUGAUGACACCAGCCUGUCUACAGGACUGAAACCCAGCCUAUUAAUGAUGACACCACCCUGUUUAUGGGACUGAAACCCAGCUUAUAACUGAUAACACCACCCUGUCCAUGGGACUGAAACCCAGCCUAUAACUGAUGACACCACUCUGUCCAUGGGACUGAAACCCAGCCUAUAACUGAUGACACCACUCUGUCCAUGGGACUGAAACCCAGCUUAUUACUGAUGACACCACCCUGUCCCUGGGACUGAAACCCAGCCUAUUACUGAUGACACCACU